Contarinia nasturtii (swede midge) is the source of this 540-nucleotide long non-coding RNA. RefSeq lists it as uncharacterized. The transcript is spliced from 3 exons. The record is from RefSeq and is a predicted model, not a curated record. Lineage: Eukaryota; Metazoa; Arthropoda; Insecta; Diptera; Cecidomyiidae.
ACAAACAUAAACAAUUGACAUCAAAGCUUGUGUGAAUAGUAAAAUCGUUGUUUCAAUUUGAAAUUAUGAAAAUUAAAAAGAAAUUAGACGGAAAAUCAUACAAUACAAUUGGAUUAGGUGUCAGUUCCAUCUGCAUAUCGAAUGUAAAUCAACAAAUCAUCUGAUAAGAAGAAAUUUACAUCGAAACAUUUCAUGAUGAUGGAAACAGAAAUAUCUUUGAAAUUGAGAGAGAGAGAGAGAGAGAGAGAGCGAGAGUGUGUGUGUAUGUCUGGCCGAAUGAAUGACUGAGUGAGUGAGAGAUGAUUGGGAAACCAUUGGGAAUUAGAGAGAUGAGCCGGUGUUCACACAACAGCAUCAGAGCAACGCCACAGCGACAUUACAUUGGGCAGCGAAUGUACGAACAUACGAGAGCAGUAACACACACAAAGAGAGAGGGAAAGGGAGACACACAUUUUUGUGAGUAUUUUAGCCAGUCAGUGAAAACAAGAUGUGUACAGUUUGUCGGAAAUGGAUUGAAAUUUUAACAAAUAAAAUGGCAUC